CCAUUUAGAAAAUUUUUACUGUUUCCAUGGCAACGGCGUCCAUUUUGAAAAUUCAAAACUCAAAAGUUAAGUUUACAUAAUCUGGGCAAAAUUUGUUAUAAGUUUCAUUAAAUUUAAACCAUUUUGAAGUUUUUCAUAAUUUUGCUGUUCCCAUGGUAACGGCGGCCAUUUUGAAUAUUCCAAAGUCAACCCCCGCUGCAAUUUUUUCCCUCCAUAAUCAUAUAUACCAUUUAAUGUCACUAGAGUAAAUUUAACAUUGAUGUUCUGGAAUGUUCUGUGAAAAUUCAAAGUUUUGACCUUUUUGCAUUGUUUCCGUGGUAACUACAGAUAUUUUGGAAAUUCCAACGCCAAAUGCCACAUCUUCCAAUGUUGCUCAUCGUUACUGUGAAGUUUCAUGAAGUUUGGAGCAUUUUGAUAUUUUUGAAAUUUUUGGUAUAGUUUCCAUGGCAACACAGUAGGUCCAAUGAGUGCCAAAAUCAUCCAACACCUGUAUAUAGUGGGCACCUACAUUGUAUCGAAAUAUGAUGAUUCUGAGUGUAAGCAUAUUCAAACAGUUCACCAAAACAAAAAACAGAAAUUUUUCACAUUUGUUUCGUUUCCAUGGCAACGGCAGCCAUCUUGAUGGUGCCAUACCCCACUGCACUAUAGAAUGUGGUGGUCUACAUUAUGGUAUAGUUCCAUCAAUAUUGUUCAAGCCAAUUCUGAGAAAUAGUAUGGACAAAAAUGUGUGGAAGAAUAAAUAUAAUAAUAAGAAAAAAAGAAACGAACAAUAACAAUAUGUCACCCCAACUCCGUUGAGGGUGCCAUAAAUAUAGU
This 816-nucleotide long non-coding RNA is filed under the name Mytilus galloprovincialis (Mediterranean mussel). The record is from RNAcentral. Lineage: Eukaryota; Metazoa; Mollusca; Bivalvia; Mytilida; Mytilidae.